RNAcentral lists this ribosomal RNA (590 nucleotides) under Hymenoplia clypealis. RNAcentral describes it as "partial 16S ribosomal RNA". The stretch from base 348 to 506 matches the Rfam family "Bacterial large subunit ribosomal RNA", at positions 2473 to 2632 of the family's 2925-position model. The record is from RNAcentral. Lineage: Eukaryota; Metazoa; Arthropoda; Insecta; Coleoptera; Scarabaeidae.
UGAGGAUUUAAAUGGCCGCGGUAUUUUGACCGUGCAAAGGUAGCAUAAUAAUUAGUUUUUUAAUUGAAAGCUGGUAUGAAUGGUUGGACGAGAAAAUAACUGUCUCAAAUUAAUUUAAUUAGAAUUUUAUUUUUAAGUAAAAAAGCUUAAAUUUUUUUAAAAGACGAGAAGACCCUAUAGAGUUUUAUAUAUUUAUAAUUAAAUAUAAUUUAGUAUAAUUAAGUUUUUAUUUUUAGAUGUAUUUUAUUGGGGUGAUAAAAAAAUUAAUAAAACUUUUUUUUUAUAUUAACAUUAAUUUAUGAAUCAUUGAUCCMUUUUUUAUGAUUAAAAGAUUAAGUUACCUUAGGGAUAACAGCGUAAUUUUUUUUUAGAGUUCUUAUCGAAAAAAGAGAUUGCGACCUCGAUGUUGGAUUAAAAUUAAUAUUUGGUGUAGAAGCUAGAUAAUUGGGUCUGUUCGACCUUUGAAAUUUUACAUGAUCUGAGUUUAAACCGGUGUAAGCCAGGUUGGUUUCUAUCUUUAAAUAAUUAAAAUAUUUUAGUACGAAAGGACCAAAUAUUUAUAAAAUUUAUUGAAUUUUGAAUAAUAUUAA